UACGUAGGGUGCAAGCGUUAAUCGGAAUUACUGGGCGUAAAGCGUGCGCAGGCGGUUUUGUAAGUCUGGCGUGAAAUCCCCGGGCUCAACCUGGGAAUUGCGUUGGAGACUGCAAGGCUAGAAUCUGGCAGAGGGGGGUAGAAUUCCACGUGUAGCAGUGAAAUGCGUAGAGAUGUGGAGGAACACCGAUGGCGAAGGCAGCCCCCUGGGUCAAGAUUGACGCUCAUGCACGAAAGCGUGGGGAGCGAACAGG
This 253-nucleotide ribosomal RNA is filed under the name uncultured bacterium. Its description in RNAcentral is "partial 16S ribosomal RNA". It matches the Rfam family "Bacterial small subunit ribosomal RNA", at positions 524 to 776 of the family's 1533-position model. The record is from RNAcentral.